CCUUGUACACACCGCCCGUCACACCAUGGGAGUGGGUGGUACCAGAAGUAGGUAGACUAACUUCGGAGGUCGCUUACCACGGUAUGAUCCAUGACUGGGGUG
Molecule: ribosomal RNA, 102 nt
Filed under: uncultured bacterium
Lineage: Bacteria
Description: partial 16S ribosomal RNA
Rfam family: Bacterial small subunit ribosomal RNA
Source: RNAcentral